RNAcentral lists this ribosomal RNA (651 nucleotides) under uncultured bacterium. Its description in RNAcentral is "bacterial SSU rRNA". It matches the Rfam family "Bacterial small subunit ribosomal RNA", at positions 193 to 862 of the family's 1533-position model. The record is from RNAcentral.
AGCAGAGGGAAAAGGAGCAAUCCGCUUUGAGAUGGCCUCGCGUCCGAUUAGCUAGUUGGUGAGGUAAUGGCCCACCAAGGCGACGAUCGGUAGCCGGACUGAGAGGUUGAACGGCCACAUUGGGACUGAGACACGGCCCAGACUCCUACGGGAGGCAGCAGUGGGGAAUAUUGCACAAUGGGGGAAACCCUGAUGCAGCGACGCCGCGUGGAGGAAGAAGGUCUUCGGAUUGUAAACUCCUGUUGUUGAGGAAGAUAAUGACGGUACUCGACAAGGAAGUGACGGCUAACUACGUGCCAGCAGCCGCGGUAAAACGUAGGUCACAAGCGUUGUCCGGAAUUACUGGGUGUAAAGGGAGCGCAGGCGGGAAGACAAGUUGGAAGUGAAAUCUAUGGGCUCAACCCAUAAACUGCUUUCAAAACUGUUUUUCUUGAGUAGUGCAGAGGUAGGCGGAAUUCCCGGUGUAGCGGUGGAAUGCGUAGAUAUCGGGAGGAACACCAGUGGCGAAGGCGGCCUACUGGGCACCAACUGACGCUGAGGCUCGAAAGUGUGGGUAGCAAACAGGAUUAGAUACCCUGGUAGUCCACACCGUAAACGAUGAUUACUAGGUGUUGGAGGAUUGACCCCUUCAGUGCCGCAGUUAACACAAUA